AGAGUUUGAUCCUGGCUCAGAACGAACGCUGGCGGCGUGCCUAACACAUGCAAGUCGAACGGGGUGAUGGCUUCGGUCAUCACUUAGUGGCGGACGGGUGAGUAACACGUGGGAACCUGCCCAUCAGUGGGGAAUAACAGCGGGAAACCGCUGCUAAUACCGCAUACGUCCUUCGGGAGAAAGGCUUCGGCCGCUGAUGGAGGGGCCCGCGUCCGAUUAGCUAGUUGGUGGGGUAACGGCCUACCAAGGCUACGAUCGGUAGCUGGUCUGAGAGGACGACCAGCCACACUGGGACUGAGACACGGCCCAGACUCCUACGGGAGGCAGCAGUGGGGAAUAUUGGACAAUGGGCGCAAGCCUGAUCCAGCCAUGCCGCGUGGGUGAUGAAGGCCCUAGGGUUGUAAAGCCCUUUCGGCGGGGAAGAUAAUGACGGUACCCGCAGAAGAGCCC
RNAcentral lists this ribosomal RNA (450 nucleotides) under uncultured Tistrella sp. RNAcentral's name for it is "bacterial SSU rRNA". It matches the Rfam family "Bacterial small subunit ribosomal RNA", at positions 8 to 492 of the family's 1533-position model. Lineage: Bacteria; Pseudomonadati; Pseudomonadota; Alphaproteobacteria; Geminicoccales; Geminicoccaceae. The record is from RNAcentral.